RNAcentral lists this ribosomal RNA (460 nucleotides) under uncultured bacterium. Its description in RNAcentral is "partial 16S ribosomal RNA". It matches the Rfam family "Bacterial small subunit ribosomal RNA", at positions 338 to 795 of the family's 1533-position model. The record is from RNAcentral.
CCUACGGGAGGCAGCAGUGAGGAAUAUUGGUCAAUGGGCGCGAGCCUGAACCAGCCAAGUCGCGUGAGGGAUGACGGUCCUACGGAUUGUAAACCUCUUUUGCCGGGGAGCAAGCGUGCGUUCGUGAACGCGCGUCGAGAGUACCCGGAGUAAAAGCAUCGGCUAACUCCGUGCCAGCAGCCGCGGUAAUACGGAGGAUGCGAGCGUUAUCCGGAUGUAUUGGGUUUAAAGGGUGCGUAGGUGGGAUGCCAAGUCAGCGGUAAAAUUGCGGUGCUCAACCCCGUCGAGCCGUUGAAACUGGCGUUCUUGAGUGGGCGAGAAGUAUGCGGAAUGCGUGGUGUAGCGGUGAAAUGCAUAGAUAUCGCGCAGAACUCCGAUUGCGAAGGCAGCAUACCGGCGCCCUACUGACGCUGAGGCACGAAAGCGUGGGUAUCGAACAGGAUUAGAUACCCGUGUAGUC